CUUUUUUAAAUCUAUAAAUGUUGCAAACGUUUUCGGACAGUUCCUCACAAUUGCAUUUAGUGUGGAAAUAUGGUCUUCACAUGAACGAUGCGCACGGAACCGAUUCUGUUCGUCUGCUAACAUGUCGUUUGUUUCUAAAUAAGCAGAUACUCGGCUGUUUAUAAACGCACUAUAUAAUUUUGAGAUACAAGAGAGCAAUCUUAUUCCACGAUAGUUAAGCGGCAUUCGUUCAUCGGAUGUUUUGUCUUUAAGAAUUGGACAAAUUAUUGCCUGUCGCCAGAUUGAUGGAAUAAUACUAGUUUCAAAUAUAAGUUGAAACAGAGAAUGAAGCACGCUCAUCACAGAUUCAUAUUUCAAGACUUCAUACGGUAUGCUAUCGAUUCCACAAGCCUUGCCAUUUUUUGCCCCAAGUAUUAAACGCCUGAUUUCA
This 430-nucleotide long non-coding RNA is filed under the name Mytilus galloprovincialis (Mediterranean mussel). Lineage: Eukaryota; Metazoa; Mollusca; Bivalvia; Mytilida; Mytilidae. The record is from RNAcentral.